CGCAGCUACACAUGCAAGUCGAGCGAACCUUCGGGUUAGCGGCGGACGGGUGAGUAACGCGUGGGAACGUACCCUCUUCUGCGGGAUAGCCACUGGAAACGGUGAGUAAUACCGCAUACGCCCUUCGGGGGAAAGAUUUAUCGGAGGAGGAUCGGCCCGCGUUGGAUUAGGUAGUUGGUGGGGUAAUGGCCUACCAAGCCUACGAUCCAUAGCUGGUUUUAGAGGAUGAUCAGCCACACUGGGACUGAGACACGGCCCAGACUCCUACGGGAGGCAGCAGUGGGGAAUCUUAGACAAUGGGCGCAAGCCUGAUCUAGCCAUGCCGCGUGAGUGACGAAGGCCUUAGGGUCGUAAAGCUCUUUCGCCAGAGAUGAUAAUGACAGUAUCUGGUAAAGAAACCCCGGCUAACUCCGUGCCAGCAGCCGCGGUAAUACGGAGGGGGUUAGCGUUGUUCGGAAUUACUGGGCGUAAAGCGCACGUAGGCGGAUUGGAAAGUUGGGGGUGAAAUCCCAGGGCUCAACCCUGGAACUGCCUCCAAAACUCCCAGUCUGGAGUUCGAGAGAGGUGAGUGGAAUUCCGAGUGUAGAGGUGAAAUUCGUAGAUAUUCGGAGGAACACCAGUGGCGAAGGCGGCUCACUGGCUCGAUACUGACGCUGAGGU
This 660-nucleotide ribosomal RNA is filed under the name Roseovarius sp. RNAcentral describes it as "bacterial SSU rRNA". It matches the Rfam family "Bacterial small subunit ribosomal RNA", at positions 45 to 752 of the family's 1533-position model. The record is from RNAcentral. Lineage: Bacteria; Pseudomonadati; Pseudomonadota; Alphaproteobacteria; Rhodobacterales; Roseobacteraceae.